UCUUUAGUUGUUUCCAGUAUCAGAAGGGUAAUGGCCGAUUCAAAGUAUUUCAGCUCACAAAUAAGAUACAGAGUUUCUUAAGUAUUGAAUCACUCAGGCAGAAUACAAACUUCCUCUCUGCACCGCACAAUAUGCAUGACACAGAGUUCUUUCUGAAAGAUAUAAUUUUUCCUGGGAUGCAUCCUAGGCUUCCCAGUGUUUCAGAACUCUGCCACAUCACAGACUACAGAAAAUGGAACACGCAUGCAAGGUUCUUUCUAUUAAUCUGCAUGAGGGACAAAAAAGCAGCCUUUCCCGCCAUCAUCUGCUGUCACAAUACUGAUUGGCUUGCCUUGCAAAAUUGCCUGGAGAGAGACAAAAGUUUGUACCAAGUACAAGAGAAUGAAAAAACUGAAGACCAAGUAAUAGUCAAUGGAAAAUCAUUUUUGAGGUGGUUUUCAAGACAUUUUGGUGAGGACCAUGUGCAGAAAAAGAAAAGAAGGAAAAGAAGAAAGGAUGAGGAAGAAGGAAAAGAAAUGGAGCAGGUAAAUUUCCAAUAAUAUUGACAUGAGUUAUUUUUCUUGUGAAGUGUUCUCCAACUUUCACAGGUAUACUAAAUGACACAAGGACUGUUUUUAUGUAGAGACUUAAACCUUCACUCACAUUUUGGAAACAUUGAGUAUCUUGAAGAAUUAAAGUCAUUGAACAUUUGAACUAUAAACCUUUUGAAAAUUCUGAAAUACAUGAUGGUCAUAUACUCUACUAUGUAUAAAAAUGUAACAAAUUGUCAAAAGCCCAGAGAGUGAAGCCUCAAAUAUCUCACUGUGCUUAUGCUUUCUGUAGAAUAAAACAAAAGUGCAAUGCA
This is a long non-coding RNA of Mus spicilegus (steppe mouse), 844 nucleotides long. The record is from Ensembl. Lineage: Eukaryota; Metazoa; Chordata; Mammalia; Rodentia; Muridae.